CCCCAAAAACACAAAGUUUUGGUCCUAAACUUGCCAUUGUUUUUAAUCAAAAUUACACAUGCAAGCCUCCGCACACCAGUGAGAAUGCCCACCUUUUUCCACAUUUUUUUAGACGAAAGGAGCAGGCAUCAGGCUCGCCGAGACAGCCCACAACGCCUUGCUACGCCACACCCACACGGGUACUCAGCAGUGAAUAACAUUAAUACAUUAACGAAAGUUAGACUUAGUUAUGAUUUAUCUGGUCGGUUAAUUUCGUGCCAGCCACCGCGGUUAUACGAAAGACCAGAAACAAUGACACACGGCGUAAAGCGUGACUAGAGCCCCACUAUAUAAUUUAAAGGAGAACCGUCCCAAAGUUGUAAAACACUACUGCCAACGAGAACCACACCAACAAAAUGCCUUUAAACAAGAUAAUGCUUAACCUCACGAAAGCUAAGGAACAAACUAGGAUUAGAUACCCUACUAUGCUUAGCCAUAAACACAGACAACACAAACAUAAUGAUGUCCGCCAGAGAACUACAAGCGAAAAACUAGAAACUCAAAGGACUUGGCGGUGCUCCACACCACCCUAGAGGAGCCUGUCCUAUAAUCGAUACCCCACGUUCUACCUUACCAUCUUUUGUAAUUCAGUCUAUAUACCGCCGUCGCCAGCCUACCUUAUGAAAGAAAUUAAAGUAGGCAAAACAGUUAACAACUAACACGUCAGGUCAAGGUGUAACACAUAUGAUGGAAGAGAUGGGCUACAUUUUCUACCAUAGAAAACACGAAUGGCAAAAUGAAACACACACCUGAAGGUGGAUUUAGCAGUAAGAUAAACAAGAAAUUUUACCUUAAACCCGCUCUGGAGCGCGCACACACCGCCCGUCACCCUCAUCG
Molecule: non-coding RNA, 876 nt
Filed under: Tribolonotus gracilis
Lineage: Eukaryota; Metazoa; Chordata; Lepidosauria; Squamata; Scincidae
Description: partial 12S ribosomal RNA
Rfam family: Bacterial small subunit ribosomal RNA
Source: RNAcentral